Molecule: ribosomal RNA, 274 nt
Filed under: uncultured bacterium
Lineage: Bacteria
Description: partial 16S ribosomal RNA
Rfam family: Bacterial small subunit ribosomal RNA
Source: RNAcentral
AUACGGAGGGUGCAAGCGUUAAUCGGAAUUACUGGGCGUAAAGCGCACGCAGGCGGUUUGUUAAGUCAGAUGUGAAAGCCCCGGGCUCAACCUGGGAACUGCAUUUGAUACUGGCAGACUAGAGUAUAGGAGAGAGAAGUGGAAUUCCACAUGUAGCGGUGAAAUGCGUAGAGAUGUGGAGGAACAUCAGUGGCGAAGGCGACUUCUUGGCCUAAUACUGACGCUCAGGUGCGAAAGCGUGGGGAGCAAACAGGAGUAGAAACCCGAGUAGUCC